AGAGUUUGAUCCUGGCUCAGGAUGAUUUCUAGCGACAGGCUUAACACAUGCAAGUCGAGGGGCAGCGGGGUAGGAAGCUUGCUUUCUGCCGCCGGCGACCGGCGCACGGGUGAGUAACACGUAUGCAACCUGGCCGUGACAGAUGGAUAACCGGGAGAAAUCCCGCCUAAUACAACAUAAUGCCGGGAGGGGACAUCCCCUGCCGGCCAAAGGGGGCGACCCCGGUCACGGAUGGGCAUGCGGCGCAUUAGGUAGUUGGUGGGGCAACGGCCCACCAAGCCGACGAUGCGUAGGGGUUCUGAGAGGAAGGUCCCCCACAUUGGAACUGAGACACGGUCCAAACUCCUACGGGAGGCAGCAGUGAGGAAUAUUGGUCAAUGGCCGGAAGGCUGAACCAGCCAAGUCGCGUGAGGGAAUAAGGCCCUACGGGUCGUAAACCUCUUUUGCCAGGGAGCAAUGCCGUCCACGUGUGGACGGAAGGAGAGUACCUGGAGAAAAAGCAUCGGCUAACUCCGUGCCAGCAGCCGCGGUAAUACGGAGGAUGCGAGCGUUAUCCGGAUUUAUUGGGUUUAAAGGGUGCGUAGGCGGCCUGCCAAGUCAGCGGUAAAAUUGCGGGGCUCAACCCCGUACAGCCGUUGAAACUGCCGGGCUCGAGUGGGCGAGAAGUAUGCGGAAUGCGUGGUGUAGCGGUGAAGUGCAUAGAUAUCACGCAGAACCCCGAUUGCGAAGGCAGCAUACCGGCGCCCGACUGACGCUGAGGCACGAAAGUGCGGGGAUCAAACAGGAUUAGAUACCCUGGUAGUCCGCACAGUAAAC
Molecule: ribosomal RNA, 816 nt
Filed under: uncultured bacterium
Lineage: Bacteria
Description: bacterial SSU rRNA
Rfam family: Bacterial small subunit ribosomal RNA
Source: RNAcentral